RNAcentral lists this ribosomal RNA (450 nucleotides) under uncultured bacterium. RNAcentral's name for it is "bacterial SSU rRNA". It matches the Rfam family "Bacterial small subunit ribosomal RNA", at positions 354 to 796 of the family's 1533-position model. The record is from RNAcentral.
GUGGGGAAUAUUGCGCAAUGGGGGAAACCCUGACGCAGCGACGCCGCGUGAGCGAAGAAGGCCUUCGGGUUGUAAAGCUCUGUUGUAAGGGACGAAGGAGCUGGGUAGUAACUGACCUGGCGGUGACGGUACCUUACCAGCAAGCCCCGGCUAACUACGUGCCAGCAGCCGCGGUAAGACGUAGGGGGCGAGCGUUGUCCGGAAUUACUGGGCGUAAAGAGCACGUAGGCGGGUAUUUAAGUCAGGUGUGAAAGACCGCGGCCCAACUGCGGGGUUGCACUUGAAACUGAAUAUCUUGAGGGCAGGAGAGGUCAGUGGAAUUCCUGGUGUAGCGGUGAAAUGCGUAGAUAUCAGGAGGAACACCAGUGGCGAAGGCGACUGACUGGACUGACCCUGACGCUGAGGUGCGAAAGCGUGGGUAGCAAACAGGAUUAGAUACCCUAGUAGUCC